This 448-nucleotide long non-coding RNA is filed under the name Homo sapiens (human). Its description in RNAcentral is "HSALNT0106097". The record is from RNAcentral. Lineage: Eukaryota; Metazoa; Chordata; Mammalia; Primates; Hominidae.
CAAACAGACAAACAAAGUAAAAGAAAGAAAAGAGGAGUGCCAAGAACCUUCAUUUUGCCUAUUUCUCAGGAUUAUCGUUUGGAGCAAGUUUGGGAUUUCCCUGGACUCAUAAGAAGACCAAUUUCUAAACCAGCACCUGCCUCUCCACCACAUGACCUCAUCUUCACCAUAGAGGUAGAUGUCCAGUUCACACCACCUGAAAAACUGAGGGCCUCAGAGAAACUGAGGCCUCAGAGAAACAGAGAAACUGAGGGCCUCAGAGAACUCCUGCAGGCCCUCCAGCUGGCCACUGCCAGCCCUGCCCAGGACCCCAUAUCUCACCAGUUACUUGUGUCCACCCUGUCUCCUUGCUCCAUCCUACCCCAGUUUAGAGAGUGAGAAUGCUGGCUGGGACCCCAAAGACCUAUCUGCAACUCCCCAACUCCAAGAAAGGGGGGGCUCCAACAAG